AAAUAAAUAUCAUGGAGAUAUAAGUAUUUCAAAGGGGUUAUUAAGGAAAACUACAGCAAAUUUAUACAAAAGGAGGUAUAACACCAAAAGCUUCAGAAAUAAUAUUUAAUAUUAUUUUCCAAUAUGAAAAUGUAAGCGAUCCUAAGGUAAACCUUUAUAAAAAUUACUUCCUGAAGUAAAACAUUUUAAUAAGGAAAGGAAAGGAAAUCAACCGAGACUCCGAGAGUAAUGGUGAGUGAAAUCGGAUUAGCCUAAAUUCUUUAAUAAUUGAAUAACUUAAUCCUUUAGUAUAAAAAUUAAUCUUGUUUCAACAAUAAUUAAUUAAACCUAAAGGGGUAUUAGUUGGCAAAAUUAAAUCUUAACAGAAACUAAAUUAAUGUUCCAUAGAAGGUCACAAACAAAAGUCCUGUAGAUUAUUAAAGAUAAAAUUAAAAAUUAAUAUAAUGUAAAAAUUAUAUAAAAAAUAAAAGUACGAUGAGAGAUAACUUGUCGGAACAUAGGGGAACCAUCCUCUAAGGCUAAGUAUUAUAAAUUUAGCGAUAGUGAAAAAGUACUGUAAAGGAAAAGUUUGAAAAGCGAGUGGUAUACAAAAAGUGAAUUAUUAAAUUAUUAUAAUUUUUAAUAGUUUAAUAAUGAAUCGGUGAAAUAGAUCAUGAAUUAGUAACUCUAUAAGCAGUCGAAAUUCAACUUUAAAUCAUAAAAGGAAAUGAAUGACGGCGUACCUUUUGCAUAAUGGGUCAGCAAGUUAAUAGGAGUAGCAAGGUUAAAAGCCCUAGCGAAAGCGACUGGACUAUAUUAUAAAAUUUUAAAUUUUUAUACAAAAUAGUGAUGGAUAAGUUACUUCUAUUAGACCCGAAGCCAGGUGAUCUUACCAAGACCAGAUUAUAAUGGAUCGAACGGGUGAAUGUUGCAUAAUUCUCCGAUGAGUUUUGGUAAGCGGUGAAAUGCCAAUCUGACCUGGUGAUAGCUGGUUUUCUACCGAAACAUAUUUAAGUAUGACGUCUACACAAAAUUUAUGGAGGUACAGCAAGGCAAUUCCCAACAAUUAUAAUGUCUUUUUUAAUUAAAAACUUUAUAUGCGUUUAGGUUGCGGGGAUCUCGAAAAUCUUACCUUUGGAAGCGAAUCUCGGAAUUACAUAAAUUGAUGGUAGAUAUUCAGACUACUCAUGCUAAGUUGGGUAGUCAAGACGGAAACAGCCGAGAACACAGAUCAAGGUCCCAAAUGAUUGUUAAGUGAAAUUAAGGACGUAGCAUAAUCGUAUACAGCUGUGAAGUGAGCCUGGCAGUCGCUACUUUUAAUGAACGUAUGUAACAACGCAUCAGCAGUUAAGAUCGUAGCGCCGAAAAUUUAACGGGUCUUAAACAAUCAACCGAUAUCGUGUUGGUUAAGAAUAAAUUCAAAUUAUUUAUUGCCUUCGGCUUUUUGUCCUUACACAAAUAAGGGAAAAAUUUGUUCUUAAUCUAGGUAGUAGAACAUUCAGUCAAACUAAUAAUAAAAUAGUGUUUCAUUAUUUUUUAGGUUACUGAAGAGAGAAUGCUGACAUGAGUAACGUAAAAAGAAGUUAUAAUACUUCUCGCCGAAUACGAAAGGGUUGCAAAUUGGAAAGGUUAAUCCGUUUUGUGUGAAUGCGGCCUCUAAGGACCAAAACCAAAGUUUUGGCUGAUGAGUAAAAAAUAGAAAGUCCAUACAUUAAAAAAAUGGACCAGGAAAAUAAUAUUUUUGUCUCCGGUCCUCCUCCUAAAGCAACAGGAGAAGGUAAUUAUUAAAAAGCCGGAGGUAACUACCGUACCCUAAACCGACACAGGUUCGUAGGUAGAGUAUACUAAGGCGUAGAGCUAAAAGUUGUUAAGGAACUCGGCAAGUUCACCUCAUAAGUUAGACGAAAAGAGGUACCAUUUAUAAAUUAAAUUCUUAAGACCUUCUAUCGAACUCAAUCUUUGUUUUUGAUGGAGGUCUAAAUUUAUAGAUAAAUGGUGGCACAGAAUCGGAGGCCCCGACUGUUUACUAAAAACACAACACAGUGCAAUCAUUAAUAUGGUAGUAUACUGUGUGAAAUUUGCCCAAUGCCAUUAAUAUAAAAGCGGUCAUGGGAAACUGUGACUAAUUGAAAAUCUGGUUAAUAGCGGUCUUAACCAUGAGGAUCCUAAGGUAGCAAAAUAAAUUGGCCAUUAAAUGUGGUCCGGUAUCAAUAAUGUAACGAUGGCCUCACUGUCUCUACAACUUGCUCAGUGAAAUUGAAUUACGCGUGCAGAUGCGCGUUACCUCCAGGGGGACGGGAAGACCCUAUGCAGCUUUACUGUAGUUAGUUAUCAUAUGAAUCUAGAACAACUUUAAUUAAUAGUGAAUAGGUAAGUCGAUAGACAUAUAGUGGAAACCUUAUAAUUAAGGUUGGGUUUGUGUUUACCUUAUACACCAUUAUAUAUCCUCAUCGAUAUUUAGUGGAAUAAAGGGAGAGUUGACUAAUUGGCAGUUUGACUGGGGCGGUCGUCUUUAAUAAAGUAACAAAGUACAUCCAAAUAUUUCAUAUUUUUAUAUAAAAUAUCCUAUUUCUAAUUUAUUAUCUUUAAUCAGAUAGUUUAUUUUGUAAUUAGAUAUUAAAACAGAUAACUUAUCCCUUUAACUAGGGACUGUUUGACCCUAUCUCUUUAGGGAAAAAACAGAAAAAGUAAUAAUUAUUUAACUAAAACAAAACUUUGUCUUUACUUCUUAGCCUUAGCUUAGCAACUUUUGGUUGGAGAGCUAGGGUUUUACUGAGAAACAGACUUAGUCAUAAAAAUUAAAACAAAUUUUUUAUAAGGUAUAGCUAGAAAUUGAAUGGAGAUCAAUCAACCGGUGAAGGGUUGCGCAGAGUACAAUGGCGGAAAGCAUACUUAACUGAAAGACUCAAAAGUCGCACAGAUACGUAAGUAGGGCAUAGUGACCCCUCGCUAUAGUAUGGAAUAGACGGGGAUCAAUUGAUAAAAGUUACGCUAGGGAUAACAGGCUGAUAGCCGACGAGAGUACACAUUGUCUCGGCUGUUUGGCACCUCGAUGUCGACUCAUCCUAUCCUCCGGGGGAAGAAGCUUGGAAGGGUUCGGCUGUUCGCCGAUUAAAAGGGUACGUGAGUUGGGUUUAAUACGACGUGAGUCAGUAUGGUCCCUAUCUUCUGGAGGAAAAAGUAGUAAAAAGGGGCAGACCUUCUAGUACGAAAGGACCAAUAGGCUGUGUUUCUCUAGUGUACCAAUUGUUUUUACUGUUUGUAAGGGACCCGAAGUCUCUUAUAGAGAUAGAUGGGAAAAAUCCUUUUUAACUUUCUUGCAAAAAGUUUUUAACUCAAAUCUCUUCUCUAUUCGGGGAAAAGAAAUUGAGAAAAAGGUAACAAAUAGGAACGCAUAGUUGGGUAGCCACAAACAUAAUAGAUAAGUGCUGAAUGUCUCUAAAGCAAGAAUCUAACCCCUAGAUACUAAAAAAUGGAUAUCUACUUAAGACUAAUAGUUUUAAGAUAGAGUAUAAAACCAUUAAUUAAGAAAUAGAACAUUUCUAGAUAGGCUGCAAAUGUACGUACUGUAAA
RNAcentral lists this ribosomal RNA (3552 nucleotides) under Amanita inopinata. Its description in RNAcentral is "large subunit ribosomal RNA". It matches the Rfam family "Bacterial large subunit ribosomal RNA". The record is from RNAcentral. Lineage: Eukaryota; Fungi; Basidiomycota; Agaricomycetes; Agaricales; Amanitaceae.